This 180-nucleotide ribosomal RNA is filed under the name uncultured Glomeromycotina. Its description in RNAcentral is "partial small subunit ribosomal RNA". Lineage: Eukaryota; Fungi; Glomeromycota. The record is from RNAcentral.
GACUCGGUUGGGCGGUCCGCUUAACGGCGUGUACUGUCUGACUGGGCCUUACCUCUUGGUGAGCCAGUGUGCCCUUUAUUGGUGUGCAUUGGGGAACCAGGACUUUUACCUUGAGAAAAUUAGAGUGCUCCAUACAGGCAUUUGCUUGAAUACAUUAGCAUGGAAUAACGGAAUAGGACU